CAUUUCUUUUAGAUAAUAAUUAAAAGUUCGACCUGCUCAAUGAAUUUUAAAUAGCUGCGGUAUUUUGACCGUACAAAGGUAGCAUAAUCAUUAGUUUUUUAAUUGAAAGCUAGAAUGAAUGGUUUAACGAAAAGAGAGCUGUCUUAUUAUUAUUUGUAUAAUUUAAUUUUUAAGUUAAAAAGCUUAAAUUUUAUUAAAAGACGAGAAGACCCUAUAGAUCUUUAUAUUAUUUUUUUAAAUAUGUUUUUUAUUUUUUUAAUUUUUUAAAAAUUAAUAUUUUAUUGGGGUGAUAGAAAGAUAGAAUAAACUCUUUUUUAAAAAAUUAAUAAUUUUUAUAUUUUUGAUCCAUUUUUUUGAUUAUAAGAAUAAGUUACCUUAGGGAUAACAGCGUAAUUUUUUUAAAGAGUUCUUAUCGAUAAAAGAGAUUGCGACCUCGAUGUUGGAUUAAGAAAAAAUUUUGGUGCAAAAGUUAAAAUUUUAGGUCUGUUCGACCUUUAAAUUCUUACAUGAUCUGAGU
RNAcentral lists this ribosomal RNA (517 nucleotides) under Prionocyphon sexmaculatus. RNAcentral describes it as "partial 16S ribosomal RNA". The stretch from base 381 to 517 matches the Rfam family "Bacterial large subunit ribosomal RNA", at positions 2473 to 2610 of the family's 2925-position model. Lineage: Eukaryota; Metazoa; Arthropoda; Insecta; Coleoptera; Scirtidae. The record is from RNAcentral.